GGGUGAGCUCUCAAUUGAUAUCUUCAUUCACUUUUCGGGGGUUCUCCACCAUUUUUAUGAUUUUAUUAGACCUUUUUUUAGUCACGAUGUCACAAUGAUCAACUUUAUAGAAUAAUUAUUUCAAGGAGAGAUAUUGCAGAGGUAUGUUCGGUGCCAGGAGAAGUGGGAAAAACACUUCUUCAGAAUUUUAUUAUCUGGAGUGCAAUGAGAUUAACGCGGAGAUUCCGAGCGAACAUUAAAAAUAUGAAAGCAAAAGAAUUUCAUGUCGAUAAUGUUCACCUUCUCGAUACGAAUGAAUGGAUCAGUGAUACUGGUCGACGUGUAGACCGACUCAUCUAUCGAGCUAAAGGAUAACAGAAAAAGUAAUGGCGGUUUUAAAAAUAUUGUCAUCAUCCCUGGAUAAAUAUGAACUCGGUAUAAUACGGGGAUAUUAUUCAUGAUCCAGUCGGCUGUCACUCACAAUCAAGAAAUGUCCAUAUGCUCCGGUCCCUGCAGAUGGCAAACCAGUGGAUGCCAUCACAUAUAAUCCAAUUCAUUUGAAAACUAUAUUCUCCAGAUUUUUACUUCAUUAGAAUUUCUCGCACCUGUAUUUUUCACCACGGCAUGAAGAAUUGUUAAAAUUUUUGACAGAAUUUAAGUGCAUGGCAGUGUUACCAUGAAAAUGGACCUUUUAACUCAAUACAAUUAAAUUUCUAGACUGAAUUUCAAAUACAUCUCUGCAUGCAAUUCUAAUACAGUUGAAUUUUAUAUUGAUCAUGUUCCUCCAUUCAGUGAGGUUUAAUAAGUAAAUGGUAAAAUUAUUUUUGGCGUAAAAAAAU
Long non-coding RNA from Fopius arisanus, 818 nucleotides. RefSeq lists it as uncharacterized. The record is from RefSeq and is a predicted model, not a curated record. Lineage: Eukaryota; Metazoa; Arthropoda; Insecta; Hymenoptera; Braconidae. The transcript is spliced from 3 exons.